AGUCAAAAGGUCUAAGCCCACAUGAGCUUGCUCAUAAGUGGGUGAAAGACCUUGGGACCCGCCCCGAUAUGAGCAUAAAAGUGGGAUGUAUAUCCCACGAUAUGCGAAUAUUGGGUGGGAUUGUGAGAGUGCGCAGCACGGAACAAUCUGUAGGCAU
RNAcentral lists this small RNA (157 nucleotides) under uncultured Lachnoclostridium sp. RNAcentral describes it as "Clostridiales-1 RNA". It matches the Rfam family "Clostridiales-1 RNA". The record is from RNAcentral. Lineage: Bacteria; Bacillati; Bacillota; Clostridia; Lachnospirales; Lachnospiraceae.